UUUGAACGAGUGGCGGACGGGUGAGUAACACGUGGGUAACCUGCCCUUAAGUGGGGGAUAACAUUUGGAAACAGAUGCUAAUACCGCAUAAAUCCAAGAACCGCAUGGUUCUUGGCUGAAAGAUGGCGUAAGCUAUCGCUUUUGGAUGGACCCGCGGCGUAUUAGCUAGUUGGUGAGGUAACGGCUCACCAAGGCAAUGAUACGUAGCCGAACUGAGAGGUUGAUCGGCCACAUUGGGACUGAGACACGGCCCAAACUCCUACGGGAGGCAGCAGUAGGGAAUCUUCCACAAUGGACGCAAGUCUGAUGGAGCAACGCCGCGUGAGUGAAGAAGGCUUUCGGGUCGUAAAACUCUGUUGUUGGAGAAGAAUGGUCGGCAGAGUAACUGUUGUCGGCGUGACGGUAUCCAACCAGAAAGCCACGGCUAACUACGU
RNAcentral lists this ribosomal RNA (434 nucleotides) under Lacticaseibacillus rhamnosus. RNAcentral's name for it is "bacterial SSU rRNA". It matches the Rfam family "Bacterial small subunit ribosomal RNA", at positions 86 to 506 of the family's 1533-position model. The record is from RNAcentral. Lineage: Bacteria; Bacillati; Bacillota; Bacilli; Lactobacillales; Lactobacillaceae.